GCCUCCAAGCCUCAAUGCCCAGAGACUGCUCACAGAGAGACACCUGACCCAGAGAGACCAACGAGGAAAGGACAACGCAGCAGAGCCAGCCGCCUGAGCCAAUAGGACCUUGGGAGGGGGUAUAAAGGAACUCAGGAGCAGCAUCUUGUGAUCGGCACCUAGGGACUUCCAGCCUGUAGCUGAUGGCCUCUGCCCUUAUUCUAUAAUCACACGGAGGAGUAAGAGCAUGCUGCAUGGCCAAGUACCGCCUCCCUCUUCUUCAGUGCUGCUGUGCUACCCCACUCAACACAUGACCUGCGAGCCCGCGUCUGACCAUGAGCUUUAUCACAGAUGGUGCUGUGAGACUGGAGGUGAGCAAUGUCCCAGCAUGCACUCAUCUUUCCUUUUCCUUUGUCUUUUUCUGUGUGUA
This is a long non-coding RNA of Mesocricetus auratus (golden hamster), 409 nucleotides long. RefSeq lists it as uncharacterized. The transcript is spliced from 3 exons. Lineage: Eukaryota; Metazoa; Chordata; Mammalia; Rodentia; Cricetidae. The record is from RefSeq and is a predicted model, not a curated record.